CCAAGGACUCGGAAUAUCGACAUCACAGUCAGGAACACAGCUCCUUAAACUGUACCUGCACUUGUGCAUCGCGUUCCAUGUUGCACCAAGCAUAAACUGUAACAACACACUGGAAUAAAAACAGGUGCAUUGCAUGUCAAGGUAACCCAUGUUCGCCUCACUGGCUAUGAGCCCCGACCAGGGAUUUUAAAUGAAGAUUCGCUGAGAGAUCGCAGUCACUCUUCCUGGAGAAGGAGGGAGGGGUAACUCCACAGCUUCACUCAAACAUGUAUACAAUCAUAUACGGAGGAAUUCUGGUGGUGAUUUUACUCCUGGGUUAUACACGUCUGUUUCGCCAGUCCGGAUGGAGGGGUAAAUCACCCCCGGGGCCGUUCCGCUGGCCACUAUUGGGAUCCUACCCCCAGAUGGCGAUGUUUGGGGCAAAGAGAGUGCAGGAUUAUUUUCAACUGAUACGUAGAAAAUAUGGCUCGGUGGCUAGGAUAUAUUUUGGAAGGUAUCCCGUGAUUCUAGUGUCUGGGUAUGAUGCGAUCCACGAGGCGUUCAUCACCCAGCAGGACAACACUGCUGCCAGGCCAGACUUCCUCCCGGGGGUAAAUGCUGUAAAACAACACGGGAAAGGGCUGUUCUUUGGAAACGGGCCAAACUGGACAAAGGCUCGUACAACACUCAAGAAAGGAAUCGCUGAUGUUUUGAUGACUUCGGCAUAUCAAGACAUAGUGUUGGAGGAGACCAAAUUCCUUAUCGAGGAAUUUGUGGAGAAAAAAGAAAGCCCUUUCCAGCCACGAGACAGCCUGUACAUCACAGUGACAACAUGCCGAUACGCAGCUCUGACAGGCCAAAGAUGUAACCAUGACAGCGUUGUCCUUCGGGAAAUACUACGGUGUAUGGCUGAUUUCGAACAGAAAGGAGGGAUUCUCUCACCCCUGGGGACAGUGCCGUGGCUGCGGUACCUACCGAUAACUAGACGGUCUUACAAAACAUUAACUGGAGCCUACACUGGACUACAGACCCUGAUGCUGUCUGAAAUCAGGAGCAGGAAAGAAAACUUCAAGGAGGACCAAACAGGAUCGGUGAUAGACGUCUUCAUUAAGGACCAGAGGCAGAACCCGGAUGUACCUUCAUAUUCAGAUGGUGACGUUGCUGUGUGUCUGGAGGAGUGCAUCAUAGGGGGCGCUCCUUCUGUAGCCCUGACGGUCGACUGGGCGCUACUCUACAUGCUGGAGCACCCGGAUGUGCAGGCAAGAUGCCAACAGGAGAUAGAUAAGGUCUGCGGCAAGUCACGACAAGUCAAGUUUUCUGACAUAGACAAAUUGCCCUAUGUUAGUGCUACGGUGUUUGAGGUUCAGCGACUCGCUAAUGUGGUAUGUUGUCUCUUGACUCUCCAGUUCCUGUCUCUCUUCCCCACUGCGCCGUGGACGACAUGGACAUCUUUGGGUUCCACAUUCCAAAAGGAACCAUCCUAUUUUCCAAUCUGAUUUCCGCAAACACGGACGAUGCUUAUUGGGAGAAUGCACAGCUGUUCGACCCGACGCGCUUUCUUGAUGACCAGCAUUCAGCAAUUAAGAUGCCCCAAGCUUUCAUGCCUUUUAGCAUAGGAGCACGAAAAUGCCCCGGUUACAAGAUGGCUGUAAAGGAGGCAACUGUCAUCUUCGCCAACCUGCUCCAAACCCUGACUUUCUCCAGUAUCGGCAAGGUGAACUACGGGGGGACAAGUGUUGUGAACAUACGCCCGACUGAGAAUUACAUCGUUGCAUCUCAGAGGAAACAUGCAAGAGAAUAGUUAGCCUGGACUAUUGGAAGUCCAU
Molecule: unclassified non-coding RNA, 1805 nt
Filed under: Haliotis rubra (blacklip abalone)
Lineage: Eukaryota; Metazoa; Mollusca; Gastropoda; Lepetellida; Haliotidae
Description: cytochrome P450 2D19-like, transcript variant X1
Source: RNAcentral